AGAGCUUCCAGAUAGCCGAACAUAUGGGUGCUCCUGGAAGGUAGAGUGCCCAGGAAGGACAUGGAGACUCUCUACUCCUUCCCCCAUACCUUGCCCUACACAUCUCUUCAUUGGCACGGUGGCUCACGCCUGUAAUCGCAGCACUUUGGGAGACCAAAGCAGAUGAAUCACCUGAGGUCAAGAGUUCAAGACCAGCCUGGCCAACACGAAAGAAGCUCUCACAGUGGAAGACUAUAAUAUGACAUAAGAAGAAAUGUGGACUUGGAGAUACAGAAGCUCCACACUGAAGAGAAAAACCAACAUCCUACAAUGAUGGGGUUUUUUUUAAAGACACCCAAGAAGCCACCUGAAGAAUCAGAACAGGGAUGGAACUCAUCCAAACUCCACUUCCCCGAGAAAAUCAUCACAAUUUGACUUAUCUGGCAUUUCCCUGGAAAAACUCACACAAAGGGUCCUGGGAGAUGCACAGCUAAGAAGCCAGGACAUCCUGGAAGCUGGGAAAUAACCCUGAACCUGCAGCAGCAAUCUGGUCUCUCCAUCACCCUAGGCUUGUGGACCACAAAUCACAACCUCAUCCACUGCAUGGACACAGGAAUAUGUCAGAACAUAGCCCUGCCUGGGCCAUCAAGCUCCAAAUAGUCAUCCAACUAGGAGCCUCGGACAACGGCCACUUUUGCUGGGAGCCCGUAGAUAGGCCUCUAGGAAGAUCUGACUGCUGUUUUUCCAAAACAGUGCCCCGUCAGCAGGAGGCAGUUAAAAUUGGUCUUCAUCCUCAUCCUUA
Molecule: long non-coding RNA, 781 nt
Organism: Homo sapiens (human)
Lineage: Eukaryota; Metazoa; Chordata; Mammalia; Primates; Hominidae
Source: Ensembl